Small nucleolar RNA from Sparus aurata (gilthead seabream), 75 nucleotides. Lineage: Eukaryota; Metazoa; Chordata; Actinopteri; Spariformes; Sparidae. The record is from Ensembl.
UAGUGAUGAAAUUUUGAACUGAAACAGCUGGAAUUACUGGCAGAUUGUUCAGUGGUGAUCAUCGGUUUUCUGAAC